AAAAUCUUCCCCGAUCGGUGGGGUUGGUUAUCAAGUGAUGCCAUUGUGUUAUUAACUUAUUAUGCCAUACUGAUGCAUGUCCCAUGUUUUCAAAAUGGCCAUUUUUAUAUAAAUCUUUUUUAAAUAUUUCUUUUUGAGUUUUCCUUUGCCUCUCUCUACUUCUAUCACUCAUGAAUCUUUACCUCCUUAAUCUUAUGGAAACCCUGAAAU
RNAcentral lists this long non-coding RNA (210 nucleotides) under Trifolium pratense (red clover). RNAcentral's name for it is "long non-coding RNA (TPRA_LNC007754)". The record is from RNAcentral. Lineage: Eukaryota; Viridiplantae; Streptophyta; Magnoliopsida; Fabales; Fabaceae.